AAAUACAUAUUACAAAACAGAUUCUAACAAAAAUUAAUUAACAAUUAAUUUUCCUUGAGCUCUCUUGCUCUUUGUGCACCUAUGCACCCUUCAAGUACCUUUGCUUCCUUGAACCUGUUUGUAAACUACUUUUCUAAUCCACCAGGAUUAAAACCUUUAGACUACACUUAGUCUAACAAUAGAAAAAUCGAUACAAUAUAGAGGUCUAUGCUCAAUGCAAGAAUAAUCAAUUUAACAAUUAAAGGCUCAACUAUAUGCAAUGAUCAAGUAGCACAAAAUAAGCAAUUAAUUUCUUACCGAAUAUCAGCUAAUAAAUAUCAGAAAAUUAAACACUUAGCUGAUCACACGUUGCACUGGAUGAAUGUAUAUUGCUCAAAAAUAUCAGUAUAUGUGCAAGAGUAAAUUCGUGAGUUCUGUGUUUUUUCCAAACAAGAGAAUACUGUAUUUAUAGCUCAUAUUAUAUUACCGUUAAUAGAUAUGUAUAAUUAGUCCCAGUUAAACGGUAUAGUCAAAAAUAUGAACGUUCACUUCGAUAUUUAUCUAAGUAACCAAAUCAAACUUCUUUAGUGUUUGAGAUAGAUAAAACUUUGACUCCUUCUUUCCGUAUAAAAAGGUGGCAGUAACUUACUAACUCAUAUGACAUCAAUCUCUUUUCAAAACAAUCUUUAGAGUCCCAAUUUCAUUUACUCCUUGAAACACUCAAAUAUCAAAUCAGUAGCUACCGUCAUUUAAAUUUCCUAGGAGAUCAUGAUUAUAUGCAGGCUUAUCACAAUUAAUAUCAUUCACCUCUUUAGCAAACUAGAUUCACUAAUAUAUAUCCACGUGUAUUGUACUCCAAGUAUGUGAAUUUAAUUUGCAUGCUAAAACAUUUUUCAUUUUAAAAUCAUUUUUCAUUUAAGACAUAAAAAGAUAUAAUGCAAUAAUAUGUCCUAGAGCCUUUAAAUGAAAAAUCAAUUACUAUGCAAUUGACCUUACAUUGAUUUUUCCUAGAAAAUAGAAACUCCUUCAAUUUCUUGAAUAUCCCAUCAAAGCUCUUUAUCACCAAAAUACCUGAAAUACCAUAAAAUAAUUUAGUACAUGAACAUUUCAUCAUCAAAACAUAAGGCUAGAAUAUGACUAAGUCAACAUUCUUCCCCUUUUUGAUGAUGACAACCCAAAAUUGUUUUAACUCAAAAACUCCCCUUAAAUAUAUGCAUAACACAAUUAACUCCCCCUAAAUCCAUGCAAUAUCAUUUCAGGAUACUGAAAUACGAUUUUCAAUAAAGUUACAAAAUCCUGAAAUGUGUAAACAUUUCAAAACAAUCCUGUUACCUGCAGUAAGUGUUAGUUCAUCAAAUAUCAAAAUAUUUACUGCAAAUAUAUCAAAAAUUUUAAAAUCCCAAUUUAAACAUAAGUCUUUUUGGUGAUGCACAGCAAAACAAAACAUAGAAUUUUUAAAAUUUGUCUAGAAGCAAUCAAAACAACUUAAAACAGCUCAAAAACUCUCCCCCUUUGUCAGCAAUCAAAAAGGACAGUCAUUCGUCGAGCUCUACCACGGCUGCACGUUGGGCUUCACGCUGAGUGAAGUAGGGGCGAUGGUUUGCACGAUGGACCUUCUCAGCAAUACUCAAAUCCGUAGCAAACUGUGGAGGCCUGGGAAUGACAGUGGCAGGGGGAAGAGGAACAUCUAAAAAUUUUCCUUGAUACUCAGCCAGCCAAUUGCAAUGCACCCACUCCGGGACAGUCGAAUGUUUACGCUGCAUAUGCAAUUUAGAUCCCAUAUCAUUGAAACGAACAGAAAUAAACUCGGCCAACUCCCCUAUUUGAUUACUAAUAAACUUCAUUUCUUGACUCAGCUAACACGAAUUGCGAUUAAGACGUCGUUGCAUUAACUCAGCCAAGGCAGUUGUUUGCACCUCAAAACCAGCUUGCAAAUCAAUAAACUCAUCUUCAAUGUUAUGAUAGAGUUUAUUGAUUUCAGGUGCACCCAAAGGCAACUUACCUUUUUUCAACACAGACAUUCUAUUAUGAAGGCAGUCAUUUCAAGUUGCAUUUUUUCUUGAUUAACAAGAAUUACUUUCAACAUUUUCAUGAUUUCAGGAGAGGAUUGAGUAAUGGGCUGAACAGGAGAAGAUGGAAUAGAUACUGGAGGAACACGAGUUUCAGAAGGGAUUCUAACAAAUAAACCAUCAAGUAAAUUGAUAUGUGACAUUUUCAGGGAACUGACGCUAAUAGAAUCAGUAACUGAAACAAAAUUUUCAUUGUCAAAAGAAAUUGUAAAAUGUUUAAACAGAGUAGUGAGAGUAGCACUAUAAGGCAAACAAGUCUUUGAUUUUCGCAAACAAGCAGUCAUGUGAUGAAGCAUGAGUUGAGAUAAAUUGAAAGACACACCACGUAAAAUUAGAGCAACAAUAAUCAGAUCCUGAUAAGUAAAAUCUGCUCCUCCACCUAACCAAGGCAACAGAUUAUACCUAACAAUAUGAUGAAGGACACAUGAAAUUGGAGAAACAUCCACAGUUUUAGGAGUGAAAACAUCAGUUAACCGAUUAUUGUUCAUCACAAUUUGAAGUUGUUCCAAUGGAGUAAAUGGAAAAUGAACAGCUCCUUUCUUUGUGAAAGGACAGACACCAGAAGAAGAAACAUUUAAAAUGCUACCAAAAUCCAUAACAGAAAAAUAAAGAGAUUUGCCUUUGACAAAUGUUGUAUAAGAAUCACCAUGGCAUUCUAGAUUCGUAUAAAACUGUUGAACAAGACUAGGAUAUGCCACAGAGGGAGGAAAAAGCAUAGAUGAUAUACCACAAGAUUCAAAUAACAGUUUGAGAGGGGAUUGCUGAAAAUAGAUCUGAUCAACAAAUUUUUUGUAGACAAAUUGUUUAGGAAAAAUGACUGUUUUAAAUCGUACCUCAUACGCAUUACUGCGAAAGUAGUUGUCAGGCAGAUCAGAGGAUAGAUUAGGGUUUACCAAAAUUGAAGGAGGGGUAACUUCUGGCUUGAAAGACUGACGCUGCCGAGAGGGUCCAGUAGAUUUAGGCAAAGACAGACUGAACAUGGACUCAUCAGAAGAUGAAGAGUCCACAUACUCUGUUUCCUCAGACACGACUUUCUUCAUUUUACGCUGCCGGCGUGAAGGUCCGGCUAUCGAUGGAGGUGGAAACUGCGCCUGAUCGUCGUCAGAAUCGAUCAAUGAUCUCUUAUGCGUAGGAGUCCUCAUGAUACCAAAGUAAAGUUAGAGAGUGAAAGAUAAGAAUAAUAAAGAGAAAAUGAGACAGAGGAGUUUUAGGAAAAUGAAAGGAAAGUAGAUAGAAAGAUAUAGAAGAAACUCUCCUGAACACUUACGUCUUCCGAGACUCCCCAUCUAACUUGGCGUGUCGAUUUUCAAAAAUCAUAAUGAAAUAUGCAUGUACGCACACGGCUCCCUAGAAACCCUUCUGUCAUCCGGUCUUUUCAAUUUCCAAAAAUAAUGAUGAGAUAUAUUUACGUAGCUCAAGAAACACCCCAGUCGACCGGUCUUUUUGGUUUCAAACGCUAAUCAUGAUAUAAUCCUUGAUUCUCGCGUCCAUAAAUUAAGCGAUUUAAAUUAUCAAUGGAAAAACAUAAUUAUCCUAAUUAACAGAUAAUAUGAUAUUCAUGCAAUACUAGGAUAAUAUUAAUACAAAAAAAAUCAUGCAGUACACAUCCCAAGUUCUCUACGUAACAUGCAAAAUCUAUCUUCACUCAAAGGUUUAGUAAAAAUGUCUGCAAUUUGAUUUUCUGUAGGAAUGAAAAUUAAUUUAAUUAACCCUUUUGAAACAUUGUCUCUUAAAAAAUGAUGCCUAACUUCUAUAUGCUUUGUACGUGAGUGUAACACAGGAUUUUUAGAUAUAUCUAUAGCACUAGAGUUAUCACAAUAAAUAGGCACACAAUCACAUAAUAUGUCAAAAUCACAUAGAGUUUGUCUCAUCCAUAAAAUUUGUGAACAGCAACUUCCUACAGCUAGGUAUUCACCCUCAGUAGUUGAAAGAGCCACUGAGGUUUGCUUUUUACUAUGCCAUGACAUGAGACUUUAUCCCAAGAAAGUACAAGCACCACUCGUACUCUUUCUAUCAAUUUGACACCCUGCAUAGUCAGCAUCUGAAUAGCCAAUUAUUUCAAAAUGAUUGGAAAUUGGAUAAAAGAACCCUAAAUUUAUUGUACCACUUAAAAAUUUCAAUAUCCUUUUAACAACAUUUAAGUGUGAUUCUUUUGGUUUAGCUUGAAACCUUGCACAUAGACAAACACUAUAUAUUAUAUCGGGUAUAGAAGCAGUUAAAUAUGGUAAACAUCCAAUCAUUCCUCAAUAUUUUGUUAUGUCUACACCAAUACCUUUCUCGUCAGUGGUGAGUUUUAUUGAUGUGCUCAUUGGUGUACCUUUCGAGUUAGAUCCUUCAAAGCCAAAUAUCUUGAGUAGUUCUUUUGUGUAUUUGGUUUGAUGGAUGUAAAUUCCGUCCUUUGUUUGCUUGAUUUGAAGUCCCAAAAAGUAGUUGAGUUCACCCAUUAAGCUCAUAUCAAAUUCUUUAUGCAUGCACUUGGAAAACCACUCACACAGGAAAUCAUUAGUAGCACCAAAUAUUAUAUCAUCUACAUAUAUUUGAACAAUAAUAAUAUCAACAUUUUUAUGCUUAAUAAACAAUGCAGAAUCUAUCUUACCUCUAACAAACCCAUUUGAUAAGAGAUACUUACUCAAUCUUUCGUACCAAGCCCUUGGAGCUUGUUUCAAGCCAUAAAGAGCUUUCUUUAGCUUGUACACAUGAUUAGGAUACUUUUCGUGUUCGAAUCCAGGAGGUUGUUUGACGUAUACUUCUUCAUUGAUGUAUCCAUUAAGGAACGCGAUUUUUACAUCCAUUUGAUGAAGCUUGAACUUUUUGUAGCAAGCAAAAGCUAACAGAAUUCUAAUUGAUUCCAGCCUUGCUACAGGUGCAUAAGUUUCUUCAUAGUCGAUCCCCUCCUGUUGAUUGUAUCCUUGAGCUACCAAUCUAGCUUUGUUACGAAUUAUUGUGCCAUGCUCAUCAAGUUUGUUCUUGAAAACCCAUUUUGUACCAAUGAUGAAAACAUCUUUUGGAGGAGACAUAAGUUCCCACACUUGGCACCUCUCAAAUUGUUGAAGUUCUUCUUGUAUUGCCAAUAGCCAAUUCUCAUCAAUUAUAGCAUCCUUUGCAUUCUUUGGUUCAACCUACGACAAAAAUGUAGAGAAUGCACAGUGAUUUUGUAAACCUCUCCGUGUGGUUAUACCUUUAUUGAUAUCUCCAAUAAUAUUUUCUGGAGGAUGAUUCUUGAUGUAUCUAGCUGUUCUUGGCAUUUGGAUAUUAUGCAUAACUUCCUCUUGAUCAUUAGACUCAUUUUCAGCAUCAUGCAAAUCUUCAAGUUCAUGUUCAUGCUGAUCAUUCAUUUUAGGUUGCUGAAUUUGUUCAUUCGGUCUCCUGUUUUCUUCAUUUCGGUUUGCUGAAAUGUUGACUAUCUCCAAAUUACCUGCAUCAUCUUCACUUUCUUUUGGAAGAUCAUUGUUAGUCUCAUUGAAAGUAAUAUGAACAGAUUCUUCUACAUAUGACUUUUUAAUAUUGAAGAUGCGAUAAGCCUUACUAUUUUGAGAAUAACCAAUAAAUAUUCCUUCAUAUGACUUAGCAUCAAAGUUUCCCAAAUUGUCACUUGUAUUUAAAAUGAAGCAUUUAGAACCAAAUAUUUUGAAAUAACCUAUGUUGGGAAUUUUAUUAUUUAAAAGCUCAUUUGGUGUUUUCAAAAUAAUAGGACGAAUGAGUACUCUAUUUAAAAUAUAACACAAUGUACUUACAGCUUCGGCCCAAAAUUUCUUUGGAAGCUUACUUUCUUGUAAUAGAGUUCUAGCUGUCUCAUGUAGAGUCCUAUUCUUCCUUUCCACCACUCCGUUUUGUUGAGGAGUCCUUGGUGCUAAGAAUUCAUGGCUAAUACCUCUUUGAUCACAAAAUGUUAUAAAAUCUUUUUGAAAUUCAGUGCCAUGAUCACUUCUAAUUCUAAUGAGUUUGAAACUAUAUUUUGUUUCAAUUUUUCUUAUUAAUAUUUCAAACUCUUUAAAUGCUUCAUCCUUAGUUCUCAAGAAUAAUACCCAUGUGUAUCUAGAGAAGCCAUCUACUAUUACAAAAGCAUAUUAUACUAGAAUAUCUUUAUGGUCCAAAUAGAUCAAGAUGAAGUAGUUGUAAGGGAGAAGAAGUUGAUACCAUGUUCUUUACCGUAAAUGAUGUUCUUACUUGUUUUCCGAGUUGACAUGGAACACAAAUUUCCUUCUUUUCAUAUUUGAUUUUCGGCAACCCUUUGACAAGAUUCUUUGAGGAUAAUUUCUUGAUUAAGUCCAUGUGAACAUGUCCCAUCCUCUUGUGCCACAAGUUAGCCUCAUCUUGUAUAGAUGCUAAACAUAAUUCUUCAUCCUGUUGCUCAAAGUCAAUGAUAUAUAUAUAUUUCCUUCUCUUUGUGCAACUAAAGUGAUAUUGUUAGUACCAUGAGAAAUAGUGCAUUUUUCUUUAUCAAAACUAACUUGAUGACCAUUAUCCAUUAAUUGACUGAUACUAAUAAGAUUAAAUUCAAGUCCAUUAACAAGAUGUACAUUAUUUAUACUUACCUUGCCAUUUCCAAUUUUACAUUUUCCGAUGAUUUCGCAAGUUCGAUUAUCUCCAAACGUGACCGUUCCAUUCUUUUUCUUGAUGUCUAGUUCCAUGAACUUUGAUUUAUCACCUGUCAUGUGACGAGAACAUCCGCUAUCAAGAAUCCAUUUUUGAGAUGGAACUCUUGCCUUUAAACAUUCCUGUCAAGAAAAGAUAUUUCAUCCUUUUGGUACCCAUAUCUUUUUGGGUCCAUUUAUGUUAGUAGCAAGUAAAUCACUCUUUUUAAUCCAUACCUUUUUAAUCUUAUUUCGUUUCUUAAAGCAAUUUAUAUCUAAAUGACCCUUAAUACCACAAUGUUUACAAGUUGUGAAAGGAGAACAAUAAUUUAAACUAAACCGUGAUUUUGAUUUUAACAUUUUCAUAUUACUCUUUUUAUGCAUAGAAUUAAAACCAAUUCCUUGUCUUUCAAAACUAGGUCUUUGUUUACCUAAUAUGACAUUUAGAUUUUCUUCACCUUGAACGAAUUUAGCAAGAGAUGUUUUUAGUGAGUCUAUUUCUUUUUGAAGUUCAUUAUUAGGAAACGUUUUAUCACUAAAUGCAUCAAUACACACAUCUCUCAUUUUUAGCUCAUUAGUCAAUUUUUGGACUUCAUUAUUUAAGACUUUUACCUUAUUAAAAAGUAUUUUAUUAAAAUUGUCUAAAUAAUCAAUUUUUGCAAUCAAAACCUUUUCUUCUUGACAUGUGGAUUCCUUUUCAAUUUCUUUCUUUUCAUCUAUCAGUGAAUCUACUUCAUCCAUUAAUGUAUUAACUAAUCCUUUUAAGCUUGCAUUCUUUUCUCUUAACUUUUUAUUUUCUUGUUCUAAAGAAUUUAGUUCAUUAGGAGAUACCUGAUUCGAUUCACCUUCAAUUCCUACAAAACAUACUUGUGCUAUCUCAUCUUUAGCAUCGAUCUCCACUUCAGAUUCUUCAUCACUCCAAGUAAUAAAGGCUUUGUUCUUCUUGUUGUCUUUGUAGUUGGUCUUCCCUUUAUUCUUUAGUUGAAAACAAUCUUUCUUGAAGUGGCCAGGACGUCCACAUUCGAAGCACGUCUCUUCAUUUUGCUUUCCUUUGAAUUUAUUUGAAUUGAAGGUAUUUCUCCUCUUGUUUUUCCUUUGUAGUAACCCCUUGAGUUUCCUUGACAUCAUUGCUAUUUCUUCAUCGGAGUUAUCAUCAAGUUCCUCUUCAUUAUCUGCAGUAAGAGCUAAGACCUUUCUUCAAGGAGUUUCUUCCUCAUCAUCAUAUCUCUUUAAUUGAUGUUCAUAUUCUUCUAGUUCACCUAAGCAACUUACGGUUGAUCUCACUUUGAGGAAUAGUCUUGUCUAGCAAUUUCAAGGAGUUUAUAAAGACUAGAAAUCUUGCUUGAGCUAGCUUGAUGGUUUCAUCUUUUUCGAGCUUGAACAUUUCAUAAUCGUGCAUAAGCAUGCUUAGCUUGACUUCUCGUACUUUUGAAGUACUUUCAUGACUUACCACUAAAGUAUCCCACAUUUCUUUGGCAAUGUUGCAUGAGGAGACUUUAUCUAUCUCGGAUUGUACCAUGCCGUUGAGAAGUGUGUUCAUAGCCUUUGAAUCAUAUGAGACCAUGUAGAUUUCGGUGGAAUCCAUUUCUAGUAGAAUCUUUGGUGUCCCAUCAUCUCUUCGUGGAACAACUGGUCCGUUCUCCACAACCCACCAUUCCCAAGGAUCUCUUUUAAGAUAGAUCCUCAUUCGGAAUUUCCAGAAGUUGUAAUUUUCUGUGCCAAACAGCAAAGGAGGUCUAUUGGUUGAUUGACCUUCUUGAUUGUUGUUUCCGAACUGUGCCAUGUUAGAAUCUUUCCCUACAAGUCACCUUUAAGACCAAGAUAAGUAGAGCCAAGCUUUGAUACCAAAUGAAAUUUAACUAGGCACACUUAGAAGGGGGGUUGAAUAAGUGUAGGAGCAAUCUAUGGCCAACUUUUAAAAACUAUUAAUUUCAGGCUACUAAAAUGAUUGAAAUCAGUUUACAGAAUUAAUAUAACCUUUUGAAUAAAAUACUUGAUGUUAAAGAAUUAUCUAAAUAUAAUGCAAGUAGUCAAAUUAAGAUAAUUAAUUAACUUAUGUGAUUUUAAAGUAAAGCAAAUAAUAAAAUCAACACCAAGAUUUUUUUACGUGGUUCAGCUAUUACCCUCUCUAAUAAUAGCCUAGUCCACGUCCAAUACCAACUUGUAUUGGAGACUCACUUUAUUUAUUUCUUUAUAAAUAAAUACAGAUUACAAUACAGAUUCUAACAAAAAUUAAUUAACAAUUAAUUUUCCUUGAGCUCUCUUGCUCCUUGUGCACCUAUGCACCCUUCAAGCACCUUUGCUUCCUUGAACCUGUUUGUAAACUACUUUUCUAAUCCACCAGGAUUAAAACCUUUAGACUACACUUAGUCUAACAAUAGAAAAAUCAAUACAAUAUAGAGGUCUAUGAUCAAUGCAAGAAUAAUCAAU
This 9052-nucleotide long non-coding RNA is filed under the name Panax ginseng (ginseng). RNAcentral's name for it is "long non-coding RNA (PGIN_LNC011010)". Lineage: Eukaryota; Viridiplantae; Streptophyta; Magnoliopsida; Apiales; Araliaceae. The record is from RNAcentral.